Long non-coding RNA from Cercocebus atys (sooty mangabey), 3473 nucleotides. RefSeq lists it as uncharacterized. The transcript is spliced from 2 exons. NCBI's taxonomy places the organism in Eukaryota, Metazoa, Chordata, Mammalia, Primates, Cercopithecidae. The record is from RefSeq and is a predicted model, not a curated record.
UUCCACUUACAUGAGGUAUCUAAAGUAGUCAAACUCAUAGUCAGAGAAAGUAGAACGGUAGUUGUAACGGGUUAAGGAGAGAGGGAAAUAGGAAGCCAUAGUUUAAUGGGUACAGAGUUUCAGAUGGAUAGUAGUAAUGAUUGUACUACAAUGUGAAUAAACUUAAUGCCACAGAACUGUAGGCUUAAAAAUGAUUAAAAUAGUAAAUUUAUGUUAUAUGUAUUUUACCACAAUAAGAAAAACCUUGGUAGGAAAUUUGCUCUACUGGAUUUCAAAAUUUACCAUAAACGUUAGUAAUUAAAAUAUUGACGUUGGUACAAAAAUAGACAAACCAGUAAAACAGAAUAAAGAGUCCAGAGACAGACCCUCACAUUUCCAGACACUUAAUUUAUGGCAAAAGCAUUUCUUCCAUUAGUAUCUACAUAUUUUUUCAGAUUUCUUUUUCAGGUAUGGCAGGUGAAAAUACCACAUUAUAAGUAAUACAAAUUAUUUUUACAGUGUUGCUUAUUUUAUCUUUACAUCAUUUUUAGCUUAUAUUUUAUGUAUGUUUUAUAAUCUAUAAAUAUAUUUUUACAAGUAAAAAUGCACGUAGCAGAGGUACACAAUAAAAUGAUUUGGGGUGUGCUAUAAUCUGAAUGUUUGUGGCCCCUCAAAAUUCCUAUUGGAAUCUAAUCCCCAACGUGUUGGUAUUAAGAGGUAGGGCCUUUGGAAGCUGACUAGGUCAUAAAACGGAGGCCUCAUAAAUAGGAUUAUUUAUGAGGUCUUAUAAAAGAGGCCUGAGGGAGCUUGUCUGCCCCUUUGCCCUUCUGCCAUAGAAGGACACACAGAAGGCACCAUCUAUGAGGACCAGGCCCUCACCAGACACAAUCUACCAGAGCCAUGAUCCUGGACUUUAUAGCCUCCAGAACUCAGGAAAUUUACUGGGAAACAAAGAGAAGAAUAUCAAGAUGGGACACGUAAAUUGGCUGCAGAGCAAGCAGAGACUAGAAGGAGCCAUCAGAGAAACAAGGACGGGAAGCAUCUAGUCUAGGUCAGAGGCUUUCAAACUUUUUUGACACAUAAUAAGAAACUUUUAUAUCACCAUUUUAUGUCACCAUCAGUAGAGAUAUCUGUACUGAGUUAUAUAUAUAUGUGUGUGUGUGUAUAUGUAUAUAUAUAUAUACGUGUGUAUGUGUUCAUAUAUAAAUUGAAAACAAAAUUGUUAAGCAAUGAUACUUAGCUUUAUUACAUGACGUGUACUUUUGUUCCAUUCUCUUCUGUUUUUUAUGUAAAUCAAGACCCUCUAAAAUGAUUUCAUAACACACCUAAGGGUCACAGCUAUCAAUGGUUUGAAACCCACAGCUCUGUCCAAUACAAUCUCACAGAACACAGCUUCCUGGAAAAUGAAGAUAACAAUACUCAACUCCACACUUGGUCAAAACUAUUCCUUGAACACUUCAUUCAGUUCUAGGCAUUACACUUUAAGAAGUAUAGAGACUAACUGGAUCACAUUCAGAAGAAGCCAAAAAAGACGAGGAAGGACACAAAUCGCAUGACAGAAGCAAAGGCUACAUGUUAGCCUACAGAAGAGAGAAAUAUCAAACAUGAUAGCCAUCUUCACUCACAUGCAGGAUCAAUUAAGCUUGUUCUAUAUUGUGACAAGGGAGAGAAGUGGCAAGGAAAAGGGUUUCAGGUCAAGGUAGAAAAGCACUAUGUAACAGUAUUAGCUGCCCAGGGGGCUGUGUUGGGACUCAUGGAGCUUCCACAUGACUGGAGAUCUUUACAGACAGCCUGAACAGUCACUUGGCAGAGAAGCAUUAGAAGGGGUUCAUAGAUCACAUGGUUAACAUUAGAGUGUAACACUUUCCAAUCCUGAAAUUCUAUAAUUCUGGUGUAGAUUAAAGCAAUAGUAUACUUUAACAUGACUACUAAAGCUAACACUAGUUCUUUAUUAAGUUUUUAAUAAGAAAUGAAUUCUACCGUGAACCACAUGAAACGAAGUUGAAAUGGCAAAUUAUAUUUUCUUGUAACAAGAGAAUGUAACAAAAAUUGGCAAUGUGCCUAUCAUAGUCAUUAAAAAUCUUCAUCAGUUACAAUUAGAGAAAAACUGAAAUGUUACCCAAAUCACUGGCAUAGUGUCUAAGAUGUUCAACUUAGAAUAUAUAACUAUAUUACAGCUUCAAUAAGCAAACAUCAAAAAAGGUGAUCUUUAAAAUGUACAGAAAUGAGAGUAUUUACAAAAGAAGAUUGUAUUAUAAACAUUCUCUCCUUGCCCAAAAGCCAUUCGUUGGUGUGUGUCGAUUUUAUGUGUAUUUUAUACCUACAAAAUACAUGUAUAAAUUCUCUCCUUACCCAAAAGCCAUUCUUUGGUGUGUGUAUAUAUAUGUAAAGCAUGCACAAAGUAACAAUGUCCUCUCUGAUUUUUUACUGAUCCAACUAACUGAAAAUGUGAGUAAUCUUCAGAAAAGUUUUUAUCCGUAUAACCAUCUACCAUAUUUAUUUUUAAAAAACCGUAUCUCCAAUUAUCUAAUAUAUAGUUAGGAAUUACUUAUCAAUAACAUACUACUGUCACCCCUCUGAGACAGAAUUCUUAAGAAGGCCAACUCCUGGACUGUUAGAAUACAGAAACCUUUCUAGAAUCAUACUAUUCAAAGACAGCAGGUCCAUGGACCAGUUCUGGUCUGUAAAUUAUUACUAAUCCAUAAUAAGAAAAGUACAGAAAAUGAGAUAAGAAUUUUAAAACAUUUACAGCAAUGUGUAAAAGUAAUUUUAAGUCUGAUGAAUCUACUAAUAAAAGAGUCAAGCCUUGUAUUUCAUGUCUUUUUCAUUUCAUUCUUCUAGCAAUUCAUUUUUAUAUUUUACAAAAGUAUCAGUUGGUGACUAGAUUUUUUUUUAAUCUGCUCUUCCAUCAAAGAGUUUGAAAAACACUUUUCUAAAGAAUCUUUAGAUGCUGAAGGUCCUUGGAUAUGAAGAUAAGCUGCUUUACUUUGAUGUCUUCUAAUCUCCCUAUUCAUCUUGGUUUUCCCACAACAGUAACAAACAUUAAUUUAUUUCUUUCCAAGUGUUCUUUUGAUAUCUCUACUAAGUUGACAGCAACAUCAAUAUAGUUCACUGCCUAAAAUUUAUCAUCAGGUUAUCUGCCUGACUGCUCAGAAUCUGUAACACUAUUUCAUUUCCAUCCAGAUGUAGCUCCAACAUAUUCUUGGGUUCAUUCCUUGUAAGAAGAUAUUAACAAAUCUGACAAGCCAGUUUGAAGGGGUCACCCAAUCUGGCAACAUGACUGCUCGCAUAAUCUGUGGUCAUCUAUCCUUUGGAAAUACUAAAGGGUAGUAUGGCUCAGUUUUAAACCCCAGACCUUCUAAAGAGACCAUCUAAAGUAAUGGUCUCUUGCAUCCUGAAUUCAUGCCAAUCUACCUAUACUUCCAAUCUUCCAUUUGAACUAUAUUGGUUCUCAGAAUCCUUUUCUGACUUACACACUCUUUUAAUUUCUUGAG